GACGAACGCUGGCGGCGUGCCUAAUACAUGCAAGUAGAACGCACAGUUUAUACCGUAGCUUGCUACACCAUAGACUGUGAGUUGCGAACGGGUGAGUAACGCGUAGGUAACCUGCCUGGUAGCGGGGGAUAACUAUUGGAAACGAUAGCUAAUACCGCAUAAUAUUGAUUAUUGCAUGAUAAUUGAUUGAAAGAUGCUAUUGCAUCACUACCAGAUGGACCUGCGUUGUAUUAGCUAGUAGGUGAGGUAACGGCUCACCUAGGCGACGAUACAUAGCCGACCUGAGAGGGUGAUCGGCCACACUGGGACUGAGACACGGCCCAGACUCCUACGGGAGGCAGCAGUAGGGAAUCUUCGGCAAUGGACGAAAGUCUGACCGAGCAACGCCGCGUGAGUGAAGAAGGUUGUCGGAUCGUAAAGCUCUGUUGAAAGAGAAGAACGGGUGUGAGAGUGGAAAGUUCACACUGUGACGGUAUCUUACCAGAAAGGGACGGCUAACUACGUG
This 505-nucleotide ribosomal RNA is filed under the name uncultured bacterium. Its description in RNAcentral is "partial 16S ribosomal RNA". It matches the Rfam family "Bacterial small subunit ribosomal RNA", at positions 28 to 507 of the family's 1533-position model. The record is from RNAcentral.